This 661-nucleotide long non-coding RNA is filed under the name Mus spicilegus (steppe mouse). Its description in RNAcentral is "lncRNA (ENSMSIG00000020641.1)". Lineage: Eukaryota; Metazoa; Chordata; Mammalia; Rodentia; Muridae. The record is from RNAcentral.
AAACCCAAGGAGAGUGCCUCUGAGCUGUAUCUCUGUAGGGCCAGCAAGCAUCCUGGUUUCAUACAGCUGAGCAUCUGCGUAGGAGGAGGACACACCUAAGACUUCCCUUACCUCCUGAAUGUAGCAGAAGUGGCUGGAAGAGGCUUUUCUGUGUUUCCUAAGCCGAGACAGCAGCUGAGUAACCAGGGGCAGCUGAGGAUGGCUAUAGGAUUUCAGUCAGACGCUGCCGCUCUUCCGUUGGCGAUCUGGAAUCCCCAGCCACUCCCCGGCCAUUUCCACCAGGACGGAGAUUGCUCUCUGAGGUUUUAUUGAGCAAAGCACCUGACUGGAAUAGGCUAAUGUGAUGGCCAGCUGUACCUACCUCAAGAUGGCUCUGAGGAGAACCAUCUGGACGAGAGCCCAUCAGAUGUGGCUAACUUUGAUUCAGAGUGAGGUGAGGAGAGCACUACCAUCAACUGUGUCACCAGCAUCCAGAUUUGACGCUUAGUGUCAUUUACACUGGCAGCAUCUCCUGACCCCAGACCUGUGUGUUCUCUCCUGGCCUCAGUGUCAUUUCUGAGAAAAAGAAAUGGGCAUCGAAUAUCACUUGUUUGUGAUAGGCUGAAUACGUCCUCUCUGAAUAAGCCUCCACCCCUUCCCCCAGAGCCCUCAAAUGUUCAUU